Molecule: ribosomal RNA, 450 nt
Filed under: uncultured bacterium
Lineage: Bacteria
Description: partial 16S ribosomal RNA
Rfam family: Bacterial small subunit ribosomal RNA
Source: RNAcentral
GUGGGGAAUAUUGGACAAUGGGCGAAAGCCUGAUCCAGCCAUGCCGCGUGUGUGAAGAAGGUCUUCGGAUUGUAAAGCACUUUAAGUUGGGAGGAAGGGCAGUAAGCUAAUACCUUGCUGUUUUGACGUUACCGACAGAAUAAGCACCGGCUAACUUCGUGCCAGCAGACGCGGUAAUACGAAGGGUGCAAGCGUUAAUCGGAAUUACUGGGCGUAAAGCGCGCGUAGGUGGUUUUGUAAGUUGGAGGUGAAAUCCCCGGGCUCAACCUGGGAAGUGCCUCCAAAACUGCAUGACUAGAGUACGGUAGAGGGUAGUGGAAUUUCCUGUGUAGCGGUGAAAUGCGUAGAUAUAGGAAGGAACACCAGUGGCGAAGGCGACUACCUGGACUGAUACAGACACUGAGGUGCGAAAGCGUGGGGAGCAAACAGGAUUAGAUACCCUAGUAGUCC